GUUAAACCCAACUGCUUUACUGUAAGGGAAGAUCUCUCCAUGUUCACCUAUUGUAACCCAACCAAGUUAUGAUCUGUCAACCUAAGAUCUAGAACAGUUAGGACCGUUGAGGAAUCCCACCUCAGCAGAGCGUUGUAGAGAUGGCUUCCUGGAUGAAUUUUGCUGACCACUUGGGAUCCUGCCUAAAGGAAAGCCUUGGGAAACUAAUUUACAACUGUGUAUAAAGUGAGAGAACUCCACAGAGAUUUGCCUUUGAAGAUUUUCUAGUUGCAUGUGACCAAGAUUUGCUGUAAUAGACUACUCUUUGUUAUAUGAACUAACAAAUGAGUAUUGAGUCGGCCAGAUAGAACAGGUCUCUGAAAACUGAGACUACCUAGGAAAUGAAGAAAAAAUAUCUUAGUGUCUUCAACAUCAUUCUAUUGGCAGAAAUAAGACUCAUUUUCUGGAGAGAAUUUUAAAUGGGCCCUAUUCCUCUUUGAAACAUUUGAACAGACAUAAAACACAAUUCAUCAAUUUUCCUAUCAGAUCCUUUUAUUGCAGCAGAAAAUUGUUCCAAAUAAAUUCUCGUGAUAAAGCUUGUAAUAGUGAAUACAAUAGAAUGCUGAAAGUAUUGUGUGAACAGAAAUAAUAAAUAUGGUAUCCAAACCCAUUGUAAGUUUCAGUAAAUCAUAUCCAUCAACUCAUUUCUCUUGAAUAAAAGAGAACUGUGAUUUUAUUCCUCCCUAUGGAUGUUUUUCCACUGUUUGAUAGAAAAAAAGAAAACAUGCACU
RNAcentral lists this long non-coding RNA (770 nucleotides) under Equus caballus (horse). Its description in RNAcentral is "lncRNA (ENSECAG00000058940.1)". The record is from RNAcentral. Lineage: Eukaryota; Metazoa; Chordata; Mammalia; Perissodactyla; Equidae.